This 196-nucleotide ribosomal RNA is filed under the name uncultured bacterium. RNAcentral's name for it is "partial 16S ribosomal RNA". It matches the Rfam family "Bacterial small subunit ribosomal RNA", at positions 328 to 539 of the family's 1533-position model. The record is from RNAcentral.
ACGCUCGACACCUACGGGAGCAGCAGUGGGGGAUAUUGCACAAUGGGGGAAACCCUGAUGCAGCAACGCCGCGUGAAGGAAGAAGGUCUUCGGAUUGUAAACUUCUGUCCUCAGGGAAGAUAAUGACGGUACCUGAGGAGGAAGCUCCGGCUAACUACGUGCCGGCAGCGCGGUAAUCUGAGCGGGCUGGCAAGGC